AUUGAACGCUGGCGGCAGGCCUAACACAUGCAAGUCGAACGGUAACAGGAAGAAGCUUGCUUCUUUGCUGACGAGUGGCGGACGGGUGAGUAAUGUCUGGGAAACUUCCUGAUGGAGGGGGAUAACUACUGGAAACGGUAGCUAAUACCGCAUAACGUCGCAAGACCAAAAAGGGGGACCUUCUGGCCUCUUUCCAUCGUAUGUGCCCAGAUGGGAUUUGCUAGUAGGUGGGGUAACGGCUCACCUAGGCUACGAUCCCUAGCUGGUCUGAGAGGAUGACAAGCAACACUGGAACUGAGAAACGGUCCAGACACCUACGGGAGGCAGCAGUGGGAAUAUUGCACAAUGGGCGCAAGCCUGAUGCAGCAAAGCCGCGUGUAUGAAGAAGGACUUCGGGUUGUAAAGUACUUUCAGCGGGGAGGAAGGGAGUAAAGUUAAUAACUUUGCUCAUUGACGUUACCCGCAGAAGAAGCACCGGCUAACUACGUG
RNAcentral lists this ribosomal RNA (489 nucleotides) under uncultured bacterium. RNAcentral's name for it is "partial 16S ribosomal RNA". It matches the Rfam family "Bacterial small subunit ribosomal RNA", at positions 30 to 507 of the family's 1533-position model. The record is from RNAcentral.